This 1622-nucleotide long non-coding RNA is filed under the name Sus scrofa (pig). Its description in RNAcentral is "lncRNA (ENSSSCG00065007432.1)". Lineage: Eukaryota; Metazoa; Chordata; Mammalia; Artiodactyla; Suidae. The record is from RNAcentral.
AGACCAUCUCCCAGGCUGCUCUCCAGGGGAGGCCGUAGGCUUGGGGAGCUUGGCGCUGGGCUCUCCCGAGGCUGCAGACGUAUCUGGGCUGAAAGCAGACCCUCCCCACCCGGCUUUUUGUGCAAGGGGCCGCUGGGGGCCAGGGCCCUCCCCGUGCCCUGAUUCGGACCCUUGCUGGAGCAGAUAAAAGCAGCCCCGCAGCCCACCCACCUCGCAGUUGCAAGCGUUGGGGGACAGCUGGUGCGCCCCGAUUAAACCGAUUCAUUUUGCCCGGCGCGGCAGGGCACCGAAGGGCCUCUGGCUGGUGACUGGCACUCUGCGGGGCGCCCGGAACCAAUUUCCGGAGGGUGAUGGAUUUCUUCUCCUUGGCUGCUCUCAAGCUGCGCUUCCUUCUGUGGCGGGGAGCAAAGCACUUUCAGAAGAGCCCGUCUCCUGGGACUGACCCCCGGGGAGGGGGCUUCGGAAGGAAACAUCCGGGCCAGGCCCACCUGUGAGUGACGGCAGGUGGAAGAAAUGAACACAUCCCUCCCCUCCGGACCCCGCCGGCCGGAACCAGGGGAUGUUGGACGUGGCUCCCUCCCCUCUUAAUAUAAAAGACGCCUGACCUCUAACGCAGAUGAAGACACUGAGGUUCAGAGAGGCUCAGAGUCCUGUGCGGUGCCACAAAUCCAGAGCGUCUCAGAGCCGGGGUUCAAGGCUCAGGUGAGCCCAUCUGCAAGAAAGAUACUGGACACAUGUGCCAAAGCCCCCGCUGGACAUGAGGCGGGCAUCAUCGUACGGACUAUUGCCUGGCUCCCUCUUCCCACCGCUGAUUUGUACUGAGACCUCUGUCCUUCGCCAGGUUCCCUCACACGGAUCAUCUGCUCUGGUUUUCCCAGUCUGUCUCAUCCGUUUAUUUGUCUUCGAUCCAAGCCACACUAUUUUAUUUCUGCGUAUUGCUUUGUUUGUACUUGCAUCUGAAAGGUCAGCUCUCUUAUCCAUCUUCUUCCAAACUGGCUUGGCGAUUGCUGGACUUUCACACGUGGACCCAGGGGCAGGUGUGGUGGACCACGGGGCGAAGACAGCAUGCUAGGGAUGGCGAAACAAGAUCGAUGGAGUCUGGGUCCCCGGACCGCCUCAGGAACCACAGACACCAGCCCUGGACCACCUCCAGAUACGAGAGGAAGAAAUACGCGUGGGGCUGAAGGCGCUAUCAAUUUGCAUGGAUAUUAACUAAGUGCAGCCAAAUAUUUAUCUUAAGUAAUGUAUUUUUCUCAUUUAUUAACUUAGCUGAAGAUUCUGGUAAAACACGGAGUCAACUUGAUGGAGCAGGCGUCCUUGCCUUGUUCUUGGCUUUAGAGAAAAUUACUAUUUUACCAUUCAGUACAAUGCUUUUUUGGUAGAUAUUUCUUACCGAUUUAAGAAAAUUUCCAUCCAUUCUGUUUGCUGAGAAUUUCCUUUAAAAAGUUAUGAGUGGAUUUUACAUUUUAUUGAAUGCCUUCCCUGCAUCUAAGAAGAUUAUUAUAUAUAUGGACUUCCUCCUUUAAUCUUUUAAUGUGGUGAAUGAUUUUAGCAGAUAUUUUAGUGUUAAGCUGCCUUUAUUCCUGAGUUAAAGACUCUGCGUAUAAUAAAGGAUUUAUAUA